CCGUCUGCAGCUAGAGAUAGGCGUUCCCUUCGGGGACAGAAUGACAGGUGGUGCAUGGUUGUCGUCAGCUCGUGUCGUGAGAUGUUGGGUUAAGUCCCGCAACGAGCGCAACCCUUAUUACUAGUUGCCAGCAUUCAGUUGGGCACUCUAGUGAGACUGCCGGUGACAAACCGGAGGAAGGUGGGGACGACGUCAAAUCAUCAUGCCCCUUAUGACCUGGGCUACACACGUGCUACAAUGGAUGGUACAACGAGUUGCGAAACCGCGAGGUUUAGCUAAUCUCUUAAAACCAUUCUCAGUUCGGACUGUAGGCUGCAACUCGCCUACACGAAGUCGGAAUCGCUAGUAAUCGCGGAUCAGCAUGCCGCGGUGAAUACGUUCCCGGGUUGGAC
Molecule: ribosomal RNA, 392 nt
Filed under: Pediococcus acidilactici
Lineage: Bacteria; Bacillati; Bacillota; Bacilli; Lactobacillales; Lactobacillaceae
Description: bacterial SSU rRNA
Rfam family: Bacterial small subunit ribosomal RNA
Source: RNAcentral